UCUAAAUGAUCUAUUGGGCAGAGAGAGAGGCAGGCAGCACGUGAGUGAAGUGAGAGGGAGUGGAAGAGAACAAUGAUGGGAAUGGAAGAAUGAAGAAGAGGUCUCCAUGGAGAGGAGGAAUACAAGACGAUCCUGAGGUAUCUCAUGCUGAAAAGUAAGAACAUUCUUAAAGAAUGAGAAAGCAUAUCAAAAGGACAAAAAGGCAGCUUGAAGGAGCUCCCACAUGUCAAAUCUAGGACAAUGGAUAAAAUCAACUGCUGUUAACUAUAGUAGGUAAAAAUUUGAUUCAUGUGAUCUUUGAGUCAUUUUCACAAAAUGUAUCUCCACCUUACAAGGGAGGGUUCUGUAGAUAUCAUCUUAUCCAUAUGAUCUAAGUUAAUAUCGCUAAUA
Molecule: long non-coding RNA, 390 nt
Filed under: Callithrix jacchus (white-tufted-ear marmoset)
Lineage: Eukaryota; Metazoa; Chordata; Mammalia; Primates; Cebidae
Description: lncRNA (ENSCJAG00000061350.2)
Source: RNAcentral